UAGGGAAUAUUGCUUAAUGGGCGAAAGCCUGAAGCAGCAACGUCGCGUGUGUGAAGAAGGCCUUCGGGUUGUAAAACACUUUUUGAGGGGAUGAGGAAGGACAGUACCCUCAGAAUAAGCCUCGGCUAACUACGUGCCAGCAGCCGCGGUAAAACGUAGGAGGCGAGCGUUAUCCGGACUUACUGGGCGUAAAGCGCGUGCAGGCGGCACGGCAAGUUGGAUGUGAAAGCUCCCGGCUUAACUGGGAGAGGUCGUUCAAAACUGCCGAGCUAGAGUGCGGGAGAGGGAGGCGGAAUUCCGGGUGUAGUGGUGAAAUGCGUAGAUAUCCGGAGGAACACCAGUGGCGAAAGCGGCCUCCUGGUCCGCAACUGACGCUCAGACGCGAAAGCUAGGGUAGCAAACGG
Molecule: ribosomal RNA, 404 nt
Filed under: uncultured bacterium
Lineage: Bacteria
Description: bacterial SSU rRNA
Rfam family: Bacterial small subunit ribosomal RNA
Source: RNAcentral